Eleginops maclovinus (Patagonian blennie) is the source of this 491-nucleotide long non-coding RNA. RefSeq lists it as uncharacterized. The transcript is spliced from 3 exons. NCBI's taxonomy places the organism in Eukaryota, Metazoa, Chordata, Actinopteri, Perciformes, Eleginopidae. The record is from RefSeq and is a predicted model, not a curated record.
GUCUGGUGGGGGUGGGGGGUUCAGAUAGUUGUAAGGGUUGUUCGGACCCUCAGGCUGUAUUCUGUCGCCGGGGAUAAAGACAUUGUCGAAUGAGCAAAGAGACAACAGGGAGGUGCUGAGUCAGCUGUCCUCCUGGCUUAGUUCACGCUGCGCUGCUCCGAGCUCUCCAACGCACGGUUCGCACAUUUCAAACGGUGCAUGAUGGGAAUUAAAGUUCCGGAGUUUGUGGGGACAUCAGACGCCGGGGUCACUCAUGUGGACCAGAGGAGAUCUGCUAAAAUAUCUUCUGUCCCUCACCGGGAUUAGAGGGGACACAUUCCUGACCUCAGCUCCCACCAAUCACUCUGUUCACAUCUUCAACGUUCUGGGUACAACAGACCAUAAAAUGAUUUCCACACAUCACACGCGAUGUUCGUCCAGGCCUGGCAGCGGGGGAAGUUCCCCCCGGCGUGAUGAGUCCUCCCCUGGAUGGACUCCAGUGGAAUGUCCCC